Long non-coding RNA from Oryza sativa Japonica Group (Japanese rice), 455 nucleotides. RefSeq lists it as uncharacterized. Lineage: Eukaryota; Viridiplantae; Streptophyta; Magnoliopsida; Poales; Poaceae. The record is from RefSeq and is a predicted model, not a curated record.
CGGCGACGGAGCCGCCGUUCCCGAGUUCUGCCGUCGCGCCGCCGCCGCCGUGGACGCUCGAUCUGUCGCCGGCGAGAGGGAGCGGCCGGAGAGGGUGGAGGGAGGGCUCGGUCAGGGAGGGUGAAGAAAACCGGGGGCGAUGGUUGGAGCGUGGGACCCACUCCAGGUCCGGGUAUCGGAUACUCAAUUCGAUGGGCACGAGUGUCGGUGUGAUUUCUUACCUGUGGACACGUCCGUCCAAGAUCCAAAGACGUCGUGGGUAACAACUGGGUUAUAUUUUUUACCCAUGGGUAACCCGUGCCGGACCCGAUACAUAUGUAUUAGCUAAUUUAGAUCAAUAUCUUAAUUCUUAUACCCCUUUCUCUUGGUUAAUUUGUGAUGAUAAGUGAUAAUAAGUUCUGAGUAAUUCAAAUUAUUGUUGAUAACUAAUAAUUUGGUAAAUUAUUGAUUUUAUU